UAUGACCAUAUCACAUUGAAACACAGGUUCCCCUAUGAUCAUUGAAGUUAAGCAACAUCAAGCCUGGUCAGUACAUAGAUGGGUCACCACUUGGGAAAACCAGGUGUUGUAA
This is a non-coding RNA of Acanthosepion pharaonis, 112 nucleotides long. The record is from the annotation of a GenBank genome assembly. Lineage: Eukaryota; Metazoa; Mollusca; Cephalopoda; Sepiida; Sepiidae.